ACGCACGCUGGCGGCGUGCUUCACCCCUGCAAGUCGCACGGAAAGGCCCUGCUUGCAGGGUACUCGAGUGGCAAACGGGUGAGUAACACGUGGGUGAUCUGCCCUGCACUUCGGGAUAAGCCUGGGAAACUGGGUCUAAUACCGGAUAGGAGCCAUUUUUAGUGUGAUGGUUGGAAAGUUUUUUCGGUGUAGGAUGAGCUCGCGGCCUAUCAGCUUGUUGGUGGGGUAAUGGCCUACCAAGGCGGCGACGGGUAGCCGGCCUGAGAGGGUGGACGGCCACAUUGGGACUGAGAUACGGCCCAGACUCCUACGGGAGGCAGCAGUGGGGAAUAUUGCACAAUGGGCGCAAGCCUGAUGCAGCGACGCCGCGUGGGGGAUGACGGCCUUCGGGUUGUAAACUCCUUUCGCUAGGGACGAAGCUUUUUGUGACGGUACCUAGAUAAGAAGCACCGGCUAACUACGUG
This 464-nucleotide ribosomal RNA is filed under the name uncultured bacterium. RNAcentral describes it as "partial 16S ribosomal RNA". It matches the Rfam family "Bacterial small subunit ribosomal RNA", at positions 29 to 507 of the family's 1533-position model. The record is from RNAcentral.